Chinchilla lanigera (long-tailed chinchilla) is the source of this 72-nucleotide small nucleolar RNA. Its record names the gene SNORD18. It matches the Rfam family "Small nucleolar RNA SNORD18". Rfam says of the family: U18 is a member of the C/D class of snoRNA which contain the C (UGAUGA) and D (CUGA) box motifs. It is encoded in introns of ribosomal protein L1 in Xenopus and human, and in introns of elongation factor 1 beta in yeast. The record is from Ensembl. Lineage: Eukaryota; Metazoa; Chordata; Mammalia; Rodentia; Chinchillidae.
CAGCUGUGAUGAAAUGCUACUCCAUUGGUCCGUGUUUCUGAACUACAUGAUUUUCUUGGAUAUUCUGAUGCU